AACGAACGCUGGCGGCAUGCCUAACACAUGCAAGUCGAACGAAGCCUUCGGGCUUAGUGGCGCACGGGUGCGUAACGCGUGGGAAUCUGCCCUUUGGUUCGGGAUAACAGUUGGAAACGACUGCUAUACCGGAUGAUGACGAAAGUCCAAAGAUUUAUCGCCAGAGGAUGAGCCCGCGUAGGAUUAGCUAGUUGGUGUGGUAAAGGCGCACCAAGGCGACGAUCCUUAGCUGGUCUGAGAGGAUGAUCAGCCACACUGGGACUGAGACGCGGCCCAGACUCCUACGGGAGGCAGCAGUGGGGAAUAUUGGACAAUGGGCGAAAGCCUGAUCCAGCAAUGCCGCGUGAGUGAUGAAGGCCCUAGGGUUGUAAAGCUCUUUUACCCGGGAUGAUAAUGACAGUACCGGGAGAAUAAGCCCCGGCUAACUCCGUGCCAGCCGCCGCAGUAA
Molecule: ribosomal RNA, 448 nt
Filed under: uncultured bacterium
Lineage: Bacteria
Description: partial 16S ribosomal RNA
Rfam family: Bacterial small subunit ribosomal RNA
Source: RNAcentral